Molecule: non-coding RNA, 308 nt
Organism: Miniopterus natalensis
Lineage: Eukaryota; Metazoa; Chordata; Mammalia; Chiroptera; Miniopteridae
Source: RefSeq, a predicted model, not a curated record
UAUGCGUGUGACCAGGGAUUGAACCUACAACCUGGAAACAUCAAGUUGAUUUCAGAUGAGAGACAGUCACUGACAAGCUGCUUCCUGCAUGUCUCCAUCUGGGGGAUUUAGCCUGCAACUGGAUAUGUAAUCUGACCAGAAAUCAAACCUCCAUCUCCUGGAUCAAAGAAAGGUCAAUGCUCAACUGCUAAGCCAUGCCAGGACUCAACAAAAUGUAAAAUGUAAAAAUGAACUAUGUUGUAGAUUUACCUUAUGCAAAUAUCUUUAUAUUAUCUCUGAAAAUAAAAACAAUGUCUUUUUAAAGCACA